AACUGCCAGUAGUGAUAUGCUYGUCUCAAAGAUUAAGCCAUGCAUGUCUAAGUACACGCCGUAUCAAGGCUAGACCGCGAACGGCUCAUUAAAUCAGUUAUGAUUCACUUGAUCUGAAUCCGAAUUACUUGGAUAACCCUGGUAAUUCUAGAGCUAAUACAUGAACCACUUAAUCCGACCGCAAGGGAGGACUGCUUUUAUUAGAUGAAAAACCAACCGGGCUUCGGUCCGCACUACUGUUAUGUUGAAUCUGAAUGACUUUGUGCUGAGAGCACGGCCUCCGCGCCGGCUCCGUAUCUUUCGAGUUUCUGCCUUAUCAUGCUAGAUUGUAGGCUACGCGCCUACUGUGGCUGCCACGGGUAACGGAGAAUCAGGGUUCGAUUCCGGAGAGGGAGCCUGAGAAACGGCUACCACAUCCAAGGAAGGCAGCAGGCACGCAAAUUACCCACUCCCAGCACGGGGAGGUAGUGACGAAAAAUAACGAUGCGGUACUCUUCGGAGUAUGCGUAAUUGGAAUGAGUACACUUUAAAUCCUAUAGCAACAACCGAUUGGAGGGCAAGUCUGGUGCCAGCAGCCGCGGUAAUUCCAGCUCCAAUAGCGUAUAUUAAAGUUGUUGCGGUUAAAAAGCUCGUAGUCAGAGCUUCGCUCCGGAGUGGUCGGGUAGGUGGCCGCCCGGCCGUCGACCCGUAAACUCCGGACUGCUUCCUCGCCCAGAGGAAGCGCCAGCCGGUUUCGGGCGGGGUGCUCUUCACCGAGUGUCCCGCGCGACCGGCCGUUUUACCUUGAAUAAAUGAGAGUGCUCAAAGCAGGCUACUCUUAAAAAUAAAGCCCGAAUGAUACCUGCAUGGAAUAAUGGAAGAUGAUCUCGGUUCCAUUUUGGUUGCGUUAUGGAACCCGAGUUAAUGAUGAAGCGGGACUGCCGGGGGCAUCCGUACUACGGCGCGAGAGGUGAAAUUCUGUGACCGUCGUAGGACGAACAACAGCGAAAGCAUUUGCCAAGAAUGUUUUCCUUGAUCAAGAACGAAAGUUAGAGGAUCGAAGGCGAUCAGAUACCGCCCUAGUUUUAACCGUAAACGAUGCUAACUAGUAAUCCGCCGUCGUUAUACCCAUGACGCGGCGGGACACCCCCGGGAAACCUCAAGUCUUUGAGUUCCGGGGGUAGUAUGGUUGCAAAAUUGAAACUUAAAGGAAUUGACGGAAGGGCACCACCAGGAGUGGAGCCUGCGGCUUAAUUUGACUCAACACGGGGAACCUCACCAGGCCCGGACACUAGAAGGACUGACAGAUUAAGAGCUCUUUCUCGAUUGGGUGGAUGGUGGUGCAUGGCCGUUCUUAGUUGGUGGAGUGAUUUGUCUGGUUAAUUCCGGUAACGAACGAGACUCUGGCCUAUUAAAUAGUCGACGGGUGCCCGACCAAGGCGGGCCUCGUCCGAAAAUUGUCUUCUUAGAGGGAUGAGCAGCGAGUAUAGCUGCAGGAGAUUGAGCAAUAACAGGUCUGUGAUGCCCUUAGAUGUACUGGGCCGCACGCGCGCUACACUGAAUGGGUCAGCGGGUCUUCCUUCUCCGAGAGGAGCGGGAAAUCGCUUGAAAACCAUUCGUGAUAGGGAUUGGGGCUUGCAAUUUUUCCCCAUGAACGAGGAAUUCCCAGUAAGCGCGAGUCAACAGCUCGCGUUGAUUAAGUCCCUGCCCUUUGUACACACCGCCCGUCGCUACUACCGAUUGAAUGAUUUAGCGAGGCCUUCGGACUGGCGGUCUUGGACUGGGUUCCGUUCGUCCUCGUGGCGUCGGACCCGCCUCGACGAGCCGGAAAGAUGUCCAAACUUGAUCAUUUAGAGGAAGUAAAAGUCGUAACAAGGUUUCCGUAGGUGAACCUGCGGAAGGAUCAAG
This 1887-nucleotide ribosomal RNA is filed under the name Stylodactylus multidentatus. RNAcentral describes it as "SSU rRNA". It matches the Rfam family "Eukaryotic small subunit ribosomal RNA". The record is from RNAcentral. Lineage: Eukaryota; Metazoa; Arthropoda; Malacostraca; Decapoda; Stylodactylidae.